AAUCGAACCCGGAGAUAGCUGGUUCUCCUCGAAAUAGCUUUAGGGCUAGCCUCAUACAAGUCUGCCGGAGGUAGAGCACUGAAUUUCCGCGGGGGCGUCAAAGCCUACCAAAGAAUAUCAAACUCCGAAUGCCGGACAGAUGGUGUAUGGGAGUCAGACUGUACGAGAUAAGUUGGACAGUCAAAAGGGAAAGAGCCCAGACCGCCGGCUAAGGUCCCAAAGUGGGUGUUAAGUGGAAAAGGAUGUGGGAUCUCUAAGACAACCAGGAUGUUGGCUCAGAAGCAGCCAUUCAUUAAAAGAGUGCGUAACAGCUCACUGGUCGAGAGGUCCUGCGCCGAAAAUGUCCGGGGCUGAAACACCACACCGAAGCCGCGGAACCCGUAAGGGUUGGUAGAGGAGCAUUCUUAGGGGAGCGAAGCAUUACCGGAAGGGGAUGUGGACCGCUAAGAAGAGAGAAUGCCGGAAUGAGUAGCGAGAGCAAGGUGGGAAUCCUUGCGGCCGAAUAUCCAAGGUUUCCAGAGUAAAGCUGAUCUGCUCUGGGUAAGUCGGGGCCUAAGGAGAGGCAGAGAUGCGUAUCCGAUGGACAGCAGGUUUAAGAUUCCUGCACCCCUUGUUAUCAGAACUGCGGGGACACGGGAAGGGAAGCAGAGCCGGGAAUGGAAAGCCCGGUGCAAGCGAAGUAGUCGCAGGGCUGGAAAAUCCGCCCUGCAUGAGACGAAGGCGUGAUGCGGAGCGAAAUGAAGUAGUGAAGCUGCGGCCCCUUCCUGUCGAGAAAAGCCGCUAUCGUGUAGCAAGGGCCCGUACCGUAAACCGACACAGGUGGAUGAGGAGAGGAUCCUAAGGCCGGCGGGAGAAGUGUUGUUAAGGAACUCGGCAAAAUGACUCCGUAACUUCGGGAGAAGGAGUGCUGCGCAAGCAGCCGCAGAGAAAUGGCCCAAGCAACUGUUUAGCAAAAACACAGGUCUAUGCGAAACCGAAAGGUGAGGUAUAUGGGCUGACGCCUGCCCGGUGCUGGAAGGUUAAGGGGAGAGGUUAGCGCAAGCGAAGCUUUGAACUUAAGCCCCAGUAAACGGCGGCCGUAACUAUAACGGUCCUAAGGUAGCGAAAUUCCUUGUCGGGUAAGUUCCGACCCGCACGAAAGGCGUAAUGAUUUGGGCACUGUCUCAACAACACACCCGGUGAAAUUGAAAUACCAGUGAAGAUGCUGGUUACCCGCGCCAGGACGGAAAGACCCCAUGGAGCUUUACUCCAGCCUGAUACUGGGAUUCGGUAUUGCAUGUACAGGAUAGGUGGGAGGCUAAGAACUCAUGGCGCCAGCCGUGAGGGAGCCGGUGUUGGGAUACCACCCCUGCAGUACUGGGUUUCUAACCUGCGCCCGUGACCCGGGCGGGGGACAAUGUCAGGCGGGGAGUUUGACUGGGGCGGUCGCCUCCGAAAGGGUAUCGGAGGCGCUCAAAGGUUCCCUCAGAAUGGUUGGAAACCAUUCGAAGAGUGCAAAGGCAGAAGGGAGCUUGACUGCGACACCGACGG
RNAcentral lists this ribosomal RNA (1530 nucleotides) under human gut metagenome. RNAcentral's name for it is "bacterial LSU rRNA". It matches the Rfam family "Bacterial large subunit ribosomal RNA", at positions 831 to 2387 of the family's 2925-position model. The record is from RNAcentral.